RNAcentral lists this ribosomal RNA (611 nucleotides) under uncultured bacterium. Its description in RNAcentral is "bacterial SSU rRNA". It matches the Rfam family "Bacterial small subunit ribosomal RNA", at positions 835 to 1445 of the family's 1533-position model. The record is from RNAcentral.
GAACCUCGGUGCCGCAGCUAACGCAUUAAGCAUUCCACCUGGGGAGUACGAUCGCAAGAUUGAAACUCAAAGGAAUUGACGGGGGCCCGCACAAGCGGUGGAGCAUGUGGUUUAAUUCGAAGCAACGCGAAGAACCUUACCAAAUCUUGACAUCCUUCUGACGGUACCUUAAACGGUACGUUCCUUCGGGACAGAAGAGACAGGUGGUGCAUGGUUGUCGUCAGCUCGUGUCGUGAGAUGUUGGGUUAAGUCCCGCAACGAGCGCAACCCUUAUCUUUAGUAGCCAGCAAGUGAAGUUGGGGACUCUAGAGAGACUGCCGGGGACAACUCGGAGGAAGGUGGGGAUGACGUCAAAUCAUCAUGCCCCUUAUGAUUUGGGCUACACACGUGCUACAAUGGCGGUGACAAAGGGAAGCGAAGUGGUGACAUGGAGCAAACCCCAAAAAAGCCGUCCCAGUUCGGAUUGUAGUCUGCAACUCGACUACAUGAAGUUGGAAUCGCUAGUAAUCGCGAAUCAGAAUGUCGCGGUGAAUACGUUCCCGGGCCUUGUACACACCGCCCGUCACACCACGGGAGUUGGAAGCACCCGAAGCCAGUGACCAAACCGUAAG